CUCAAUGAAAUUUAAUAGCCGCAAUAUUUGUGCUAAGGUAGCAUAAUCAUUUGUUUUUUAAUUAAAAACUAGAACGAAAGAUUUAACAUUUUUAUUUCUAUCUAAUAUAUAAUCAUUAAACUUAUUCUAAACAUUAAAAAACAUUUAUUUAUUAAGAAGACGACAAGACCCUAUUGAACUUAACUAAAGUUAAACUGGGGAAGUUAAUUAAAUACAAUUUUAAUUUAAAUAUUAAAAAUAACCUAAUACAAUUAAAAAAUCAAGUUACCAUAGGGAUAACAGCACAAUAAUUUUCCAAAGAUCUUAUUUAAAAAAUUGUUUAUGACCUCGAUGUUGAAUUAAUAAUCUAUUAAAUGCAAUAACUUAAUAAGAAAGUCUGUUCGACUU
Molecule: ribosomal RNA, 387 nt
Filed under: Yunguirius xiangding
Lineage: Eukaryota; Metazoa; Arthropoda; Arachnida; Araneae; Agelenidae
Description: partial 16S ribosomal RNA
Source: RNAcentral